RNAcentral lists this transfer RNA (77 nucleotides) under Pseudomonadota bacterium. RNAcentral describes it as "Proteobacteria bacterium (wastewater metagenome) tRNA-Pro". It matches the Rfam family "tRNA". From Rfam's summary of the family: Transfer RNA (tRNA) molecules are approximately 80 nucleotides in length. Their secondary structure includes four short double-helical elements and three loops (D, anti-codon, and T loops). The record is from RNAcentral. Lineage: Bacteria; Pseudomonadati; Pseudomonadota.
CGGCGUGUAGCGCAGCCUGGUAGCGCAUCAGCUUGGGGUGCUGGGGGUCGUGGGUUCAAAUCCCGCCACGCCGACCA